AUUCAUUUUGUGUUUGUAAAUUAAAAGUAUCUUACUCGGUGCUGUUAGGGGCUGUGUGAAUACCAUUAAUAAGGAUGUUUUCCCGUACUGUGCUGUAUAAUAACUUCACAUAUUAUUUUAUUAUUUAUAUAGCGCCAGCAAAUUCUGUAACGCUGUACAAUGGGAGAUGUUGCAUUGAAGUGACACAGACAAAAACUGUGUUGGAAACUAAAAUAUUAAUUUCAAGAUUUA
Non-coding RNA from Pelobates cultripes (western spadefoot toad), 231 nucleotides. The record is from the annotation of a GenBank genome assembly. NCBI's taxonomy places the organism in Eukaryota, Metazoa, Chordata, Amphibia, Anura, Pelobatidae.